UGUUUUUCAUAACUGUUUCUUUAAGCAAUAACCUCAGUGCAUAAUAUGUUUGCGCCAUUUUGUCCCAGACGAAAUACAAUAAUGCAUAAACAAGCUUCAAGGCUAUGCUACGACUCUUGCAGUACACAAUAUACUGUGGUAACCCCAAGUUAAUGGAACUUCCCCAAAUCCGGGAAUCUCCCGCGACUGUACACUUACGACUUAGUAUAAACAACAGAUAACCUAUUCAGACUUUAAGAUGACAUCUUGAACUAAGUCAGGAAAAUUUCCAUGACGUAUACACCCUUUAGUUAUGGCCUUGUAUGUUUGCCAAGUUAAGGGAGGUCCUAAAUUGAAUAAAGUAAAGAAGUGUUACUUUUUCAUAUUUGAACUACUGUAACCUAAAAUGGAGACACCUAAGGUAUAAAUAGGUGUACUUUUAAAUGUUAAGACACAGAGGAGAGACUUGGAGACAGACGCUGCUCCAUCUUAAAAUGACAGAGAGGCUGACAUGAUGACAUGUUCAGAAGGGUAUGUUAACCUAUUAAUGAUAUUUGCAAGCAUG
This is a non-coding RNA of Pelobates cultripes (western spadefoot toad), 544 nucleotides long. The record is from the annotation of a GenBank genome assembly. NCBI's taxonomy places the organism in Eukaryota, Metazoa, Chordata, Amphibia, Anura, Pelobatidae.